UCUCCGUUGGUGAACCAGCGGAGGGAUCAUUACCGAAGUUACCUUCAAAACCCACUGUGAACCUUACCUCUUGCCGCGUUGUCUCGGCGGGAGGCGGUGUGCGUCGCGCGCCCUAGCGGGCCGCGCCGCUCCCGUCCCCGCCGGCAGCGCCAAACUCUAAAUGCACAGCGGACUGUACGUUCUGAUUUACAAAAAAAACAAGUUAAAACUUUCAGCAACGGAUCUCUUGGUUCUG
This 235-nucleotide unclassified non-coding RNA is filed under the name plant metagenome. RNAcentral's name for it is "partial contains small subunit ribosomal RNA, internal transcribed spacer 1, and 5.8S ribosomal RNA". The record is from RNAcentral.